Molecule: ribosomal RNA, 598 nt
Filed under: uncultured bacterium
Lineage: Bacteria
Description: bacterial SSU rRNA
Rfam family: Bacterial small subunit ribosomal RNA
Source: RNAcentral
UGGAUAGGGGUUCUGAGAGGAAGGUCCCCCACAUUGGAACUGAGACACGGUCCAACCUCAUACGGGAGGCAGCAGUGAGGAAUAUUGGUCAAUGGACGAGAGUCUGAACCAGCCAAGUAGCGUGAAGGAUGACUGCCUAUGGGUUGUAAACUUCUUUUAUACGGGAAUAAGUGAGGCACGUGUGCCUUUUUGUAUGUACCGUAUGAAUAAGGAUCGGCUAACUCCGUGCCAGCAGCCGCGGUAAUACGGAGGAUCCGAGCGUUAUCCGGAUUUAUUGGGUUUAAAGGGAGCGUAGGCGGACGCUUAAGUCAGUUGUGAAAGUUUGCGGCUCAACCGUAAAAUUGCAGUUGAUACUGGGUGUCUUGAGUACAGUAGAGGCAGGCGGAAUUCGUGGUGUAGCGGUGAAAUGCUUAGAUAUCACGAAGAACUCUGAUUGCGAAGGCAGCCUGCUGGACUGUAACUGACGCUGAUGCUCGAAAGUGUGGGUAUCAAACAGGAUUAGAUACCCUGGUAGUCUACACAGUAAACGAUGAAUACUUGCUGUUUGCGAUAUAAGUAAGCGGCCAAGCGAAAGCGUUAAGUAUUCCCCUGGGGAGUA